Molecule: ribosomal RNA, 745 nt
Filed under: uncultured bacterium
Lineage: Bacteria
Description: bacterial SSU rRNA
Rfam family: Bacterial small subunit ribosomal RNA
Source: RNAcentral
AAUUCGAUUAGUUUGAUCAUGGCUCAGGACGAACGCUGGCGGCGCGCUUAAUACAUGCAAGUCGAGCGAGAACCAGCCCUUCGGGGCUGGGGAAAGCGGCGAACGGGUGAGUAACACGUGGGUAAUCUGCCCUCGGCACCGGGAUAGCCCGGGGAAACCCGGAUUAAUACCGGAUAGCCUCUCGAGCUCUCGAGCUCGCGAGAAAAGGUAGCUUUGGCCUCUGGCCGAGGAGGAGCCCGCGGCGGAUUAGCUUGUUGGUGAGGUAACGGCCCACCAAGGCGACGAUCCGUAGCUGGUCUGAGAGGACGAUCAGCCACACUGGGACUGAGACACGGCCCAGACUCCUACGGGAGGCAGCAGUAGGGAAUCUUGCGCAAUGGGCGGAAGCCUGACGCAGCGACGCCGCGUGCGGGAAGAAGGCCUUCGGGUUGUAAACCGCUUUCAGGAGGGACGAAGCCACUCGGGUUAAUAGCCCAGAGGGUGACGGUACCUCCAGAAGAAGCCCCGGCUAACUACGUGCCAGCAGCCGCGGUAAUACGUAGGGGGCAAGCGUUGUCCGGAUUUAUUGGGCGUAAAGCGCGUGUAGGCGGCCAGGUAGGUCCGUUGUGAAAACUCGAGGCUCAACCUCGAGACGUCGACGGAAACCAUCUGGCUAGAGUCCGGAAGAGGAGAGUGGAAUUCCUGGUGUAGCGGUGAAAUGCGCAGAUAUCAGGAAGAAUAUCCGUGGCGAAGGCGGCUCUCUGGG